RNAcentral lists this ribosomal RNA (468 nucleotides) under uncultured bacterium. Its description in RNAcentral is "partial 16S ribosomal RNA". It matches the Rfam family "Bacterial small subunit ribosomal RNA", at positions 28 to 507 of the family's 1533-position model. The record is from RNAcentral.
GACGAACGCUGGCGGCGUGCUUAACACAUGCAAGUCGAACGGAAAGGCCCUGCUUUUGUGGGGUGCUCGAGUGGCGAACGGGUGAGUAACACGUGAGUAACCUGCCCUUGACUUUGGGAUAACUUCAGGAAACUGGGGCUAAUACCGGAUAGGAGCUCCUGCUGCAUGGUGGGGGUUGGAAAGUUUCGGCGGUUGGGGAUGGACUCGCGGCUUAUCAGCUUGUUGGGGGGGUAGUGGCUUACCAAGGCUUUGACGGGUAGCCGGCCUGAGAGGGUGACCGGCCACAUUGGGACUGAGAUACGGCCCAGACUCCUAUGGGAGGCAGCAGUGGGGAAUAUUGCACAAUGGGCGGAAGCCUGAUGCAGCAACGCCGCGUGCGGGAUGACGGCCUUCAGGUUGUAAACCGCUUUCGCCUGUGACGAAGCGUGAGUGACGGUAAUGGGUAAAGAAGCACCGGCUAACUACGUG